Molecule: long non-coding RNA, 768 nt
Filed under: Salmo salar (Atlantic salmon)
Lineage: Eukaryota; Metazoa; Chordata; Actinopteri; Salmoniformes; Salmonidae
Description: lncRNA (ENSSSAG00000088832.1)
Source: RNAcentral
GGAAACGAGGGUACAGUAAGACAGGGGGUUGUGGUGGGGGGUGGAAACGAGGGUACAGUAAGACAUCAGCAUUUCAUUCAGUCCAUCAUCAUCAUCAUCAUCAUCAUCAUCAGUCCUCAUUAAAAUCAAAUUAAAAAGAUGAUCUUGCAGUUUGGUGCUAAAGCUCCUUUCUGUUAGCAAUGUUUCCCAAACUGGGUCCUGGGGCCCCCCCACAUUACACAGCUGAUUCAGUUGAUCAAAGCUUCAUGACCAGUAGGUUACUUGAAUCAGCUGUGUUGUGCUGGGGGCAGAAACUAAACAUCCACCCAAAGGGGGGCCCAAGACCAAGUAUGGGAAACACUGGUAAAGGGGGGACAGGACAUGGGAAACAUUGGUAAAGGGGGGGACAGGACUUGGGAAACAUUGGUAAAGGCGGGGACAGGACAUGGGAAACAUUGGUAAAGGGGGGGACAGGACUUGGGAAACAUUGGUAAAGGCGGGGACAGGACUUGGGAAACAUUGGUAAAGGGGGGGACAGGACUUGGGAAACAUUGGUAAAGGCGGGGACAGGACAUGGGGACAGGACUUGGGAAACAUUGGUAAAGGGGGGGACAGGACUUGGGAAACAUUGGUAAAGGCGGGGACAGGACAUGGGGACAGGACUUGGGAAACAUUGGUAAAGGGGGGACAGGACAUGGGGACAGGACUUGGGAAACAUUGGUAAAGGGGGGGACAGGACUUGGGAAACAUUGGUAAAGGCGGGGACAGGACAUGGGAAACAUUGGUAAA